Molecule: ribosomal RNA, 324 nt
Filed under: uncultured eukaryote
Lineage: Eukaryota
Description: partial 18S ribosomal RNA
Rfam family: Eukaryotic small subunit ribosomal RNA
Source: RNAcentral
CCCUUAGAUGUCCUGGGCUGCACGCGCGCUACACUGAUGUGUCCAGUAAGCACCUAACCUCUUCCGAAAGGAACGGGUAACCUUUGCAAAGCACAUCGUGAUGGGGAUAGAUUAUUGCAAUUAUUAGUCUUGAACGAGGAAUUCCUAGUAAGCACAAGUCAUCAGCUUGUGUUGAUUACGUCCCUGCCCUUUGUACACACCCCCCGUCGCUCCUACCGAUUGAAUGUUCCGGUGAGCUCUUCGGACUGCGCGGUCUGCAGUUUCUGCGUUCCGUGCGGAAAGUUGCGCAAACCUUAACAUUUAGAGGAAGGAGAAGUCGUAACA